RNAcentral lists this ribosomal RNA (424 nucleotides) under uncultured prokaryote. RNAcentral's name for it is "bacterial SSU rRNA". It matches the Rfam family "Bacterial small subunit ribosomal RNA", at positions 355 to 796 of the family's 1533-position model. The record is from RNAcentral.
UGGGGAAUAUUGGACAAUGGGGGCAACCCUGAUCCAGCCAUGCCGCGUGAGUGAUGAAGGCCUUAGGGUUGUAAAGCUCUUUUACCAGGGAUGAUAAUGACAGUACCUGGAGAAUAAGCUCCGGCUAACUCCGUGCCAGCAGCCGCGGUAAUACGGAGGGAGCUAGCGUUGUUCGGAAUUACUGGGCGUAAAGCGCGCGUAGGCGGCUUAUCAAGUCAGAGGUGAAAGCCCGGGGCUCAACCCCGGAACUGCCUUUGAAACUGGUGGUCUUGAGUCCGAGAGAGGUGAGUGGAACUCCGAGUGUAGAGGUGAAAUUCGUAGAUAUUCGGAAGAACACCAGUGGCGAAGGCGGCUCACUGGCUCGGUACUGACGCUGAGGUGCGAAAGCGUGGGGAGCAAACAGGAUUAGAUACCCCCGUAGUCC